GACGAACGCUGGCGGCGUGCUUAACACAUGCAAGUCGAACGGGAGUAUUGAAGAAGCUUGCUUUAGAGAUACUUUAGUGGCGGACGGGUGAGUAACGCGUGAGGAGCUGUCCGAUGCAGGGGGACAACAGUUGGAAACGACUGCUAAUACCCCAUAAGCCGAGAGGUAAAAGGAUUUAUCCGGCAUGGGAGGUACUCGCGUCCUAUCAGCUAGUAGGUGAGGUAACGGCUCACCUAGGCGAAGACGGGUAGCCGGCCUGAGAGGGCGAACGGCCACACUGGAACUGAGAUACGGUCCAGACUCCUACGGGAGGCAGCAGUGGGGAAUAUUGGGCAAUGGGGGGAACCCUGACCCAGCGACGCCGCGUGGGUGAAGAAAUCCUUCGGGAUGUAAAGCCCUGUUGUAUGGGAAGAGCGGAAGACGGUACCAUACGAGGAAGCCCCGGCAAACUACGUG
Molecule: ribosomal RNA, 456 nt
Filed under: uncultured bacterium
Lineage: Bacteria
Description: bacterial SSU rRNA
Rfam family: Bacterial small subunit ribosomal RNA
Source: RNAcentral